Molecule: ribosomal RNA, 799 nt
Filed under: uncultured bacterium
Lineage: Bacteria
Description: bacterial SSU rRNA
Rfam family: Bacterial small subunit ribosomal RNA
Source: RNAcentral
AGAGUUUGAUCCUGGCUCAGAUUGAACGCUGGCGGCAUGCCUAACACAUGCAAGUCGGACGGCAGCACAGCAGUAGCAAUACUGUGGGUGGCGAGUGGCGGACGGGUGAGGAAUACAUCGGGACCUGCCCAGACGUGGGGGAUAACGUAGGGAAACUUACGCUAAUACCGCAUACGUCCUACGGGAGAAAGCGGGGGAUCGAAAGACCUCGCGCGGUUGGAUGGACCGAUGUUCGAUUAGCUAGUUGGUAGGGUAAAGGCCUACCAAGGCGACGAUCGAUAGCUGGUCUGAGAGGAUGAUCAGCCACACUGGGACUGAGACACGGCCCAGACUCCUACGGGAGGCAGCAGUGGGGAAUAUUGGACAAUGGGCGCAAGCCUGAUCCAGCAAUGCCGCGUGUGUGAAGAAGGCCUUCGGGUUGUAAAGCACUUUUAUCAGGAGCGAAAUACCACGGGUUAAUACCCUAUGGGGCUGACGGUACCUGAGGAAUAAGCACCGGCUAACUUCGUGCCAGCAGCCGCGGUAAUACGAAGGGUGCAAGCGUUAAUCGGAAUUACUGGGCGUAAAGCGUGCGUAGGCGGUUAUUUAAGUCUGCUGUGAAAUCCCCGGGCUCAACCUGGGAAUGGCAGUGGAUACUGGAUAGCUAGAGUGUGAUAGAGGAUGGUGGAAUUCCCGGUGUAGCGGUGAAAUGCGUAGAGAUCGGGAGGAACAUCAGUGGCGAAGGCGGCCAUCUGGAUCAACACUGACGCUGAGGCACGAAAGCGUGGGGAGCAAACAGGAUUAGAUACCCUAGUAGUCC